RNAcentral lists this ribosomal RNA (449 nucleotides) under uncultured bacterium. RNAcentral's name for it is "partial 16S ribosomal RNA". It matches the Rfam family "Bacterial small subunit ribosomal RNA", at positions 329 to 794 of the family's 1533-position model. The record is from RNAcentral.
UGCCAGACUCCUACGGGAGGCAGCAGUGGGGAAUAUUGCACAAUGGGGGGAACCCUGAUGCAGCGACGCCGCGUGGGUGAAGGAGCACCUCGGUGCGUAAAGCCCUAUCGGCAGGGAAGAAGGAGGACGGUACCUGACUAAGAAGCCCCGGCUAACUACGUGCCAGCAGCCGCGGUAAUACGUAGGGGGCAAGCGUUAUCCGGAUUUACUGGGUGUAAAGGGGGCGCAGACGGCAGCGCAAGCCAGGAGUGGAAGGCCGGGGCCCAACCCCGGGACUGCUCUUGGAACUGCGCGGCUGGAGUGCAGGAGGGGCAGGCGGAAUUCCUGGUGUAGCGGUGAAAUGCGUAGAUAUCAGGAGGAACACCGGUGGCGAAGGCGGCCUGCUGGACUGCGACUGACGUUGAGGCCCGAAAGCGUGGGGAGCAAACAGGAUUAGAUACCCGUGUAGC